RNAcentral lists this long non-coding RNA (865 nucleotides) under Sparus aurata (gilthead seabream). Its description in RNAcentral is "lncRNA (ENSSAUG00010005303.1)". Lineage: Eukaryota; Metazoa; Chordata; Actinopteri; Spariformes; Sparidae. The record is from RNAcentral.
AUGGAGGGUCUAUUUCAUGUUUACGCCAAACGGUUCAACCUUGGAAGGUCUGUUUUAAUCCUGAACCAUUACACAGCUGGUGUGAUACUUUUUGGAACACCAGACAAAGUCAGACAGCACAGCUUGCGAAGGACAGAUUUCAGCAACUAUGAGGCCGUACUGUCUUUUGUAAAUGUUGGAGGAGUUCACUGGAAGUUACUGUUUGUACUUCCUGCCAUGAAGGCUGUGUUCUUGCUGGACCCGAUGGCUAAUAAUUCUGAGCAAGCUGAGUCUGCAGAUGCUGCAAAAAGAAUACGGGAUUACAUGCGGUUCAGAAUGAUCACCCUUGGCAAAAAUGACUGGGGGAGACUCAGAUGGAGAGGAUUAACGAUGGACCAUCCAGUACAACAAGACAAGUGUAGCUGUGGGGUCAUCGUUACGAAGAUGGCAAAGGCAGUAAUGGAGGCAUUUCCGGCGUUACCUGCCAUGUCCUUUGGCACCUCCAUGAAGGAGAUGGCGUCGGAAAGGACAAAUUUUGCCCAGGCAUUACUCAGUGACUCAGUGUUGGACCUGGAUCAUCACUGUGUGAUGUGCUGUGCUUCAAAGCCCCCUGUAUCAGGACCUCCAGUGACUCGUUGGAUACAGUGUGAUACCUGCGAAAGGUGGUAUCACGAGGAAUGCCUGGAUUUGGAGGAAGAGAUACUCAAAAAAGCAAGGGCAGGCAACUGGAACUGCGACCUUUGCAAAUAAAAAAAAAAAAGUGAUAAGACAUGUUCCUUUUUUCAUCAAAAUUCACAUUUUGUUGUUUUUCCAUUUUUGGUUCUCCAAAUGUGCUCUGAGUUGUUCAUUGCUUGUUUACAAAGAAAACAAGGCCCAGAGGCCUGGC